GCAUCGGUGGCUUAGUGGUAGAAUGCAGGCCUGCCACGCGGGCGGCCCGGGUUCGAUUCCCGGCCGAUGCA
Molecule: transfer RNA, 71 nt
Filed under: Cordylochernes scorpioides
Lineage: Eukaryota; Metazoa; Arthropoda; Arachnida; Pseudoscorpiones; Chernetidae
Description: tRNA-Gly
Rfam family: tRNA
About the family: Transfer RNA (tRNA) molecules are approximately 80 nucleotides in length. Their secondary structure includes four short double-helical elements and three loops (D, anti-codon, and T loops). Further hydrogen bonds mediate the characteristic L-shaped molecular structure. tRNAs have two regions of fundamental functional importance: the anti-codon, which is responsible for specific mRNA codon recognition, and the 3' end, to which the tRNAs corresponding amino acid is attached (by aminoacyl-tRNA synthetases). tRNAs cope with the degeneracy of the genetic code in two manners: having more than one tRNA (with a specific anti-codon) for a particular amino acid; and 'wobble' base-pairing, i.e. permitting non-standard base-pairing at the 3rd anti-codon position.
Source: RNAcentral